ACCGCUGGAUGAGGGGGCCCUCGGCCGGUGUUGGUCGUCGGCGUCGAAGGAGGCGGAGGUCGACGACGACUUCCACGGCUCGAAGCCGCUCUGGACCUUGGAGGCCAGCGAGAGCUGCAAGGGCGGCGAGGAGGCGGCGGCGGCGGCGGCGGAGAUCGAGUACCGCCGGAUGAGGGGGCGCUCGGCCGGUGCUGGUCGUUGGCGUCGAAGGAGGCGGAGGUCGACAACGACUUCCGCGGCUCGAAGCCGCUCUGGAUCUUGGAGGCCAGCGGGAGCUGCGAGGGCGGCGAGGAGGGGGCGGUGGCGGCGGCGGAGAUCGAGUACCGCCGGACUAGGAGGGCGCUCAGCCGGUGCCGAUCGUCGCUGUCGAA
RNAcentral lists this long non-coding RNA (371 nucleotides) under Eucalyptus grandis. RNAcentral describes it as "long non-coding RNA (EGRA_LNC003926)". The record is from RNAcentral. Lineage: Eukaryota; Viridiplantae; Streptophyta; Magnoliopsida; Myrtales; Myrtaceae.